UACGGAGGGUGCAAGCGUUUAUCCGGAUUCACUGGGUUUAAAGGGUGCGUAGGCGGGCAGGUAAGUCCGUGGUGAAAUCUCUGAGCUUAACUCAGAAACUGCCAUGGAUACUAUUUGUCUUGAAUGUUGUGGAGGUAAGCGGAAUAUGUCAUGUAGCGGUGAAAUGCUUAGAUAUGACAUAGAACACCAAAUUGCGAAGGCAGCUUACUACACAAAUAUUGACGCUGAGGCACGAAAAGCGUGGGGGAUCAAAACAGG
This 258-nucleotide ribosomal RNA is filed under the name uncultured bacterium. RNAcentral's name for it is "partial 16S ribosomal RNA". It matches the Rfam family "Bacterial small subunit ribosomal RNA", at positions 524 to 776 of the family's 1533-position model. The record is from RNAcentral.